UACAGAGGUCUCGAGCGUUAGGCGGAAUCACUGGGCUUAAAGGGUGCGUAGGCGGGUCUUUAAGUCAGGGGUGAAAUCCUGGAGCUCAACUCCAGAACUGCCUUUGAUACUGAAGAUCUUGAGUUCGGGAGAGGUGAGUGGAACUGCGAGUGUAGAGGUGAAAUUCGUAGAUAUUCGCAAGAACACCAGUGGCGAAGGCGGCUCACUGGCCCGAUACUGACGCUGAGGCACGAAAGCGUGGGGAGCAAACAGG
RNAcentral lists this ribosomal RNA (253 nucleotides) under uncultured bacterium. RNAcentral's name for it is "partial 16S ribosomal RNA". It matches the Rfam family "Bacterial small subunit ribosomal RNA", at positions 524 to 776 of the family's 1533-position model. The record is from RNAcentral.